Molecule: ribosomal RNA, 253 nt
Filed under: uncultured bacterium
Lineage: Bacteria
Description: partial 16S ribosomal RNA
Rfam family: Bacterial small subunit ribosomal RNA
Source: RNAcentral
UACGGAGGGUGCGAGCGUUGUCCGGAAUCAUUGGGCGUAAAGGGCGCGUAGGUGGCCCGGUCAGCGUGCGGUGAAAGCUCGGGGCUCAACCCCGAGUCGGCCGUGCGAACUGCUGGGCUUGAGCACUGUAGAGGCAGGCGGAAUUCCGGGUGUAGCGGUGGAAUGCGUAGAGAUCCGGAAGAACACCGGUGGCGAAGGCGGCCUGCUGGGCAGUAGCUGACACUGAGGCGCGACAGCGUGGGGAGCAAACAGG